RNAcentral lists this ribosomal RNA (253 nucleotides) under uncultured bacterium. RNAcentral describes it as "partial 16S ribosomal RNA". It matches the Rfam family "Bacterial small subunit ribosomal RNA", at positions 524 to 776 of the family's 1533-position model. The record is from RNAcentral.
UACAGGGGGUGCAAACGUUGCUCGGAAUCAUUGGGCGUAAAGCGCACGUAGGCGGUCUGUUAUGUCGGAUGUGAAAGCCCUUGGCUUAACUGAGGAAGUGCAUCCGAAACUGGCAGGCUAGAGUACUAAAGAGGGUCGCGGAAUUCCCGGUGUAGAGGUGAAAUUCGUAGAUAUCUGGAGGAAUACCGGUGGCGAAGGCGGCAUCCUGGACCGGCAUUGACGCUGAGGAGCGAAAGCCAGGGGAGCAAACGGG